GUGAAUCAUCGAAUCUUUGAACGCAUAUUGCACUCUCUGGGAUUCCGGAGUGUAUGCCUGGUUGAGGGUAAUUAAAAAGAACCUUUAACCAAUUUUUUUUGGUCAGAGGAAAUGAGCUCUCCGCGUUUAUAGCGUUAGCUUGAAAUAAAUAAUCAAGUGUCAUUUUAGUCGAGACGCGUAAUAAUAUUAUUUCGCGAAAUCUUCAUUAUGUGACUAGCAAGUUUGCAUUCGUACAAAUUU
Molecule: unclassified non-coding RNA, 240 nt
Filed under: Archaeospora ecuadoriana
Lineage: Eukaryota; Fungi; Glomeromycota; Glomeromycetes; Archaeosporales; Archaeosporaceae
Description: partial contains 5.8S ribosomal RNA and internal transcribed spacer 2
Rfam family: 5.8S ribosomal RNA (bases 1-71)
Source: RNAcentral